GUUUUUUAGAAAUUUUUAUUUAAAAUUUAAUCUGCCCAAUGAUUAUUUAAAUGGCUGCGGUAAUUUGACCGUACAAAGGUAGCAUAGUAAUUAGUCUUUUAAUUGAAGUCUGGAAUGAAUGAUUGGAUGAGAAAAUUACUUUCUUUAAAUUUUUAUUAAUUAUAAUUUGAUUUUUUAGUGAAAAAGCUAAAAUGUUUAUUUGGGACGAUAAGACCCUAUAGAGCUUUAAAUUUUUUUUAUAUAAUAUUAAUUUUUGGUUUAUUAUUUUUUUUAUAUUUAUUAAUUUUUGGUUGGGGUGACAGUAAAAGUUUUUUUAUCUUUUAUUUUAUUUUUCAUUAAUUAUUGUUUUUUUGAUCCAAAUAUUUUUUUUGAUUAUAAGAUUAAGUUACCUUAGGGAUAACAGCGUAAUUUGUUUUUAGAGUUCUUAUCGAUGAAUAAGUUUGCGACCUCGAUGUUGGAUUAAGAUUAGAAAAGGGUGAAGAUUUUCUUUAUUCUAGGUCUGUUCGACCUUUAAAUUCUUACA
Molecule: ribosomal RNA, 523 nt
Filed under: Polychaetophyes serpulidia
Lineage: Eukaryota; Metazoa; Arthropoda; Insecta; Hemiptera; Machaerotidae
Description: partial 16S ribosomal RNA
Rfam family: Archaeal large subunit ribosomal RNA (bases 396-523)
Source: RNAcentral